Molecule: long non-coding RNA, 516 nt
Organism: Macrobrachium nipponense
Lineage: Eukaryota; Metazoa; Arthropoda; Malacostraca; Decapoda; Palaemonidae
Exons: 2
Source: RefSeq, a predicted model, not a curated record
GGCGGCCGUUGCUUGUUAUCCUCAAGAACAGACUGUUUCGGUAUUUGAGAGUCCUUGCCUUGGUGAGAUGGCUUUCUUUGAUGUUGCCUCGACUUCUUCGCUCAUUUCUGGUUGGGACUUGGGAUCUUCUCUGGUGGUGUGCGGGGAACCAUAUUCUUGCGUUGUAAAUAGACAUGGGAAGAUUUUUGUCUGGAAUGCGUGCUGCGUCCUGCGUUGGCUCUUGGAUGUAGCUGCAGCUGACCAUGACGACGGCGACGACUUAUCACUAGUUUUAUUAAAGCAACGCCUUGCGUUAUGACUGUAUAUCCAACGAGAAUUCGAAGAUCUGAAUUUGGUUGCACAGACGUUGUGCACAUCCUUUGAUUCUAAGAGCUCUUAAUUGUUACCCUGGUAACUAGAAAUGAACUUGCAAGAAGUAGUGCGCAACCUACUAUUCUAAUUGUGUAAUCUGUCGUACUUCAGUAAGUGUUAUUUACGUGUAUGAAGACCAGCGUAAUAUAGUAUGUAUUUAUAAAA